UACGUAGGGGGCAAGCGUUAUCCGGAAUUACUGGGUGUAAAGGGUGAGUAGGCGGCAUGGUAAGUUAGAUGUGAAAGCCCGAGGCUUAACCUCGGGAUUGCAUUUAAAACUAUCAAGCUAGAGUACAGGAGAGGAAAGCGGAAUUCCUAGUGUAGCGGUGAAAUGCGUAGAUAUUAGGAAGAACACCAGUGGCGAAGGCGGCUUUCUGGACUGAAACUGACGCUGAGGCACGAAGGCGUGGGGAGCGAACAGGAUUAGAUACCCUGGUAGUCCACGCCGUAAACGAUGAGUGCUAGGUGUCGGGGGGGAACCCUCGGUGCCGCAGCUAACGCAAUAAGCACUCCACCUGGGGAGUACGACCGCAAGGUUGAA
RNAcentral lists this ribosomal RNA (372 nucleotides) under uncultured bacterium. RNAcentral's name for it is "bacterial SSU rRNA". It matches the Rfam family "Bacterial small subunit ribosomal RNA", at positions 524 to 898 of the family's 1533-position model. The record is from RNAcentral.